CCUACGGGUGGCAGCAGUCGAGAAUUUUUCUCAAUGGGGGAAACCCUGAAGGAGCGACGCCGCGUGGAGGAUGAAGGUCUUCGGAUUGUAAACUCCUGUCAUUUGGGAACUAGUACCAGAAGAGGAAGAGACGGCUAACUCUGUGCCAGCAGCCGCGGUAAUACAGAGGUCUCAAGCGUUGUUCGGAUUCAUUGGGCGUAAAGGGUGCGUAGGCGGCGGGGUAAGUCGGAUGUGAAAUCCCGGGGCUCAACCCCGGAACUGCAUUCGAUACUGCCUUGCUCGAGUACUGGAGAGGAGACUGGAAUUUACGGUGUAGCAGUGAAAUGCGUAGAUAUCGUAAGGAAGACCAGUGGCGAAGGCGAGUCUCUGGACAGUACUGACGCUGAGGCACGAAGGCCAGGGGAGCAAACGGGAUUAGAUACCCUUGUAGUC
This 432-nucleotide ribosomal RNA is filed under the name uncultured bacterium. RNAcentral's name for it is "partial 16S ribosomal RNA". It matches the Rfam family "Bacterial small subunit ribosomal RNA", at positions 338 to 795 of the family's 1533-position model. The record is from RNAcentral.